UCUGCAGCGCUUUUUAUUGAAUCAGUCAAUCAUCUUCUUCCUUUCUGUUUCCUUCACCAGAAGUUAUGGCGGUACGGCAGCAAUCUUCAGCUACUCAGCUCGAGCCUUGGAACUGCCUUCACGGCAAAGUGGUGAUGGUCACCGGAGCCUCGUCGGGGCUUGGCCGUGAGUUCUGUCUCGAUCUUGCUAAAGCCGGUUGCAGAAUCGUCGCUGCCGCACGCCGAAUCGAUAGACUCCAAUCUCUCUGUGAAGAAAUCAAUCGCCUUAAUGUCUCCUCAUCUUCCUCCGUCGCUCCGGUUACCGGUCCUAGAGCCGUGGCUGUGGAGCUCGAUGUUAGCGCCGAUGGAAAGAGUAUCGAGAAAUCCAUAAAAAAUGCUUGGGAUUCGUUCGGCUUCAUCGAUGCCUUGGUGAAUAAUGCAGGUUUUAGAGGCACAGUGAAGACAUCUUUGGAAUUGUCUGAAGAGGAAUGGGAUCAAGUGAUGGGAACAAAUCUUAAAGGUUCUUGGUUAGUAUCAAAGUAUGUGUGUAGUCAUAUGCGUGACUCCAAACGAGGUGGAUCUGUUAUCAGUAUUUCUUCCAUUUCUGGUAUUGAAAGAGGCCAAUUACCUGGUGGCCUUGCCUAUGCUGCUUCAAAGGCAGGCAUAAACACUUUGACAAAGGUUAUGGCUCUUGAAUUAGGGCCAUACAAUAUCAGAGUAAAUUCUAUAGCGCCCGGACUGUUUAAAUCUGAGAUUACAGAGGGUCUCAUGCAGAAAGAUUGGCUAAAUACUGUAGCCUUUAAAACUAGCCCUUUAAGGACAUUUGGUACUUCUGAUCCAGCAUUAACAACACUCAUCCGAUAUCUGGUGGACGACUCGUCUAGAUACGUCUCGGGCAACAUUUACAUCGUCGAUGCUGGAGCUACAUUACCCGGUUUCCCAAUUUUCUCAUCCCUUUGAAUAUUUAUGGUCCAGUUGAUGAUCUUGUUUAGUGAAAGAUCAGGCUUAGAAUUGUCAGAUCAUCUCCUACCUGAAAAUUUGAAAGAACAAUGUUUGCAUAUUCAACGCGAUUAAGGACAUAUGAAGUCGAGCAACGGGAUUAAGGGCGUAUGAAGUCGAGAAAUUGAAAAUGAUUUCAUUUUGGUGUAACAAAAAAUGAUACUUUUAUGAUAUUUUGUGUAGAUAUAUUAAUAUCCCAUCGUUUUAAAAAUUGUAUCGGUUGAGAAUGUGGAGACAAAACUUUGUCGUGGAGAUAAUGGACUAGGCCCAUUUAUGGUUUGGCUUCUUAACAUAUAUAUAUAUAUAUAUAUUUAAAUUUGAGAGAAGUGGGUGCUGCAAAUCAAAAAAAAAUGACGACCUCCUUAUUUGAAGUGAUCAAGCACACCAUCUGCGACAGUGGCAACCAUUCUUCGAAGUUUUUUUUUUUUCAUUUUUAAAUCUUGUUUAUACCAUCUGGGUGUGCGACUGUGGACAUCGGGAUGUAGUACUGGGAUCAAAUAUUUCGUGUUGGACUAUUUGGAAGAAAUAUGUGGCGUGAGUCUUGGAACCAUUGCAAUUUUCAUCAUAGUAAUACCUGUAAUUGUAGAAGACUCGUAGUCUCGAGUUUGGGUCGAACUAGUAUAUUUUUAGUGUUUUUCUUUCUUUCUUCUCUUAAUUAUUAUUAUUUUAUGAUUGUUGAUA
Non-coding RNA from Benincasa hispida (wax gourd), 1658 nucleotides. Lineage: Eukaryota; Viridiplantae; Streptophyta; Magnoliopsida; Cucurbitales; Cucurbitaceae. The record is from RefSeq and is a predicted model, not a curated record.